CCUACGGGUGGCAGCAGUGGGGAAUAUUGGGCAAUGGGCGCAAGCCUGACCCAGCAACGCCGCGUGAAGGAAGAAGGCUUUCUGGUUGUAAACUUCUUUUCUCAGGGACGAAGCAAGUGACGGUCCCUGAGGAAUAAGCCACGGCUAACUACGUGCCAGCAGCCGCGGUAAUACGGAGGUGGCAAGCGUUAUCCGGAUUUACUGGUUGUAAGGGGCGUGUAGGAGGGAAAGAAAGUCAGAUGUGAAAACCAGGGCUCAACAUGUGGCCUGCAUUUGAAACUGUUGUUCUUGAGAACUGGAGAGGCAGACGGAAUUCCUAGUGUAGCGGUGAAAUGCGUAGAUAUUAGGAGGAACACCAGUGGCGAAGGCGGUCUGCUGGACAGCAACUGACGCUGAGGCGCGAAAGCGUGGGGAGCAAACAGGAUUAGAUACCCUUGUAGUC
This 442-nucleotide ribosomal RNA is filed under the name uncultured bacterium. RNAcentral's name for it is "partial 16S ribosomal RNA". It matches the Rfam family "Bacterial small subunit ribosomal RNA", at positions 338 to 795 of the family's 1533-position model. The record is from RNAcentral.